Molecule: small nucleolar RNA, 79 nt
Filed under: Gouania willdenowi (blunt-snouted clingfish)
Lineage: Eukaryota; Metazoa; Chordata; Actinopteri; Blenniiformes; Gobiesocidae
Description: Small nucleolar RNA SNORD72 (ENSGWIG00000019514.1)
Rfam family: Small nucleolar RNA SNORD72
About the family: snoRNA HBII-240 belongs to the CD family of snoRNAs. It is the human orthologue of the mouse MBII-240 and is predicted to guide 2'O-ribose methylation of the large 28S rRNA at residue U4590.
Source: Rfam by way of RNAcentral
GUCUUGUCUAUGAUGCCUUUAAACUCAAAUGUCUGAACAAAUGAUUUCCUAUGAUUCAAAUUUCUGACUGAGACAAGAC